RNAcentral lists this long non-coding RNA (225 nucleotides) under Lathyrus oleraceus (garden pea). RNAcentral describes it as "Pisum sativum (pea) long non-coding RNA (PSAT_LNC041873)". The record is from RNAcentral. Lineage: Eukaryota; Viridiplantae; Streptophyta; Magnoliopsida; Fabales; Fabaceae.
UGGACCUGGUUGUGUUAGAUAUGUCUGUUUGUUAGCAUCAAUCAUACAUAAACCAUGCAUAUACAUGCAUAAUUAUAACAUGCAGAUAUUCAUGUUGCAUUCUUUUCCAUAUAUCUUUGUUUGUUGUCUCCUUCUAUUUGGUGAUAUAUGUUUCCCCAAGCAGAUGUUGGUGUUUGAUCUCUCCAUAUAGAGUCAGCCCCAUAGGCAGAAAGUGUCUACCCUUUC